AUAGAGCCAACAGGCCAUGCUGUGGUCAGUGACAGACUGUCAGUCACUGUCAGGCUGUGCAGACAGGAGGGAAUCCACACUCACAUCACCUAAGGUCAGCCCCCAGAUGGAGACAGCCAGGCCGGAAUGCUGACCAGGUCGAACCUCCUCUCUGGAAGUGUCUCCUCCUACCCUUAGAUUAUGCUAAAAUGCCACCACAUUUGGAAUGCUGAAUUGGGUGAACUAUUGGGUGGCCUAAAAUGAGACCAGAGCUGCCAUCCACACCUCGCUGAAACACUCCUUGAAAAACGCUCUGAUGAGAAAGUGGCCUUUCCAUCCUGAUUCUCCUCCGCUCCAAGAUCUGCUUCUGUUCACAGGAGGAAAAUGAACUCUCAUGCAAAUAAGGCAACAACGGACUCACCAUUAACAGGGAGAGAAAUUAUAACCUGUGUUCAGCAAGCUUGCUGCCUGGCAAUCUUCCUCCCUUUCAUUUGCAGAGUGGCACACUAAAAGCUGGCAAGGCAGACUUUAUGCAAAGCCCUUCUGCAAUAAAGGUAAGACACAAGGGACUACUUGUAAAUGACUGAUUUUCU
RNAcentral lists this long non-coding RNA (572 nucleotides) under Ficedula albicollis (Collared flycatcher). RNAcentral's name for it is "lncRNA (ENSFALG00000026608.1)". The record is from RNAcentral. Lineage: Eukaryota; Metazoa; Chordata; Aves; Passeriformes; Muscicapidae.